AAGCUGAGCAGGAACAAGAACAUUUUUCUGGACCAAUUAAUUUCAGGUAUUUUUUUCCUCUUUUUUUCCUUUAUGUUUUUAUCUUCUUCUUCUUAGAUCUAUAAAAAUUAUGGCAUAAAUCUUUUGAUAUUCUUGAUAAAUCUACUACCUGUCAUAUUUUUUCCAUAAAAUUUUCAAUACACAGUUUUUUUCUUCAUCAAUUCUCGUCACAUUCCACAGUUAAAACUAACCAAAAAUUAAUCAAGCAACCCACAAAAAACACAUUUUUUCUUCAUCAAUCACAAUCGGUAACUCAAAUCAUCAAACCAAACAAGGGGGGAAUCCAAAUAGAGAG
This 334-nucleotide long non-coding RNA is filed under the name Populus tremula. RNAcentral describes it as "long non-coding RNA (PTRE_LNC002269)". Lineage: Eukaryota; Viridiplantae; Streptophyta; Magnoliopsida; Malpighiales; Salicaceae. The record is from RNAcentral.